This 502-nucleotide ribosomal RNA is filed under the name uncultured bacterium. RNAcentral describes it as "partial 16S ribosomal RNA". It matches the Rfam family "Bacterial small subunit ribosomal RNA", at positions 29 to 523 of the family's 1533-position model. The record is from RNAcentral.
AUUGAACGCUGGCGGCGUGCUUAACACAUGCAAGUCGAUCGGUAACAGGUGUAGCAAUACAUGCUGACGAGAGGCGGACGGGUGAGGAAUAUUUGGGAAUCUGCCCAUCAGCGGGGGACAACCCGGGGAAACCCGGGCUAAUACCGCAUACGCUCUACGGAGGAAAGCCGGGGACCGCAAGGCCUGGCACUGAUGGAUGGGCCCAAAUCGGAUUAGCUAGGUGGCGGGGUAACGGCCCACCAAGGCGACGAUCCGUAGCUGGUCUGAGAGGACGAUCAGCCACACCGGAACUGAGACACGGUCCGGACUCCUACGGGAGGCAGCAGUGGGGAAUAUUGGACAAUGGGGGAAACCCUGAUCCAGCGACGCCGCGUGGGUGAAGAAGGCCUGCGGGUUGUAAAGCCCUUUCGGUAGGGACGAAAGCUCUUGCUCUAAUAAUGCAAGAGGUUGACUUAACCUACAUAAGAAGCACCGGCUAACUCUGUGCCAGCAGCCGCGGUAA